ACGGGUGAGUAACACGUAAGGAACCUGCCCCAAGGAUUGGGAUAACUCCGAGAAAUCGGAGCUAAUACCGAAUAGUUCUUCAGACCGCAUGGUCUGAUGAUGAAAGGCGCUCCGGCGUCACCUUGGGGUGGCCUUGCGGUGCAUUAGCUAGUUGGUGGGGUAAUGGCCCACCAAGGCGACGAUGCAUAGCCGACCUGAGAGGGUGAUCGGCCACACUGGGACUGAGACACGGCCCAGACUCCUACGGGAGGCAGCAGUAGGGAAUCUUCCACAAUGGACGAAAGUCUGAUGGAGCAACGCCGCGUGAGUGAUGAAGGUUUUCGGAUCGUAAAACUCUGUUGUAAGGGAAGAACAGGUAUGAGAGGUAAUGCUCAUGCUAUGACGGUACCUUGCGAGAAAGCCACGGCUAACUACGUGCCAGCAGCCGCGGUAAUACGUAGGUGGCAAGCGUUGUCCGGAAUUAUUGGGCGUAAAGCGCGCGCAGGCGGCCUUUUAAGUCUGAUGUGAAAGCCCCCGGCUCAACCGGGGAGGGUCAUUGGAAACUGGAAGGCUUGAGUACAGAAGAGA
RNAcentral lists this ribosomal RNA (567 nucleotides) under uncultured bacterium. RNAcentral's name for it is "bacterial SSU rRNA". It matches the Rfam family "Bacterial small subunit ribosomal RNA", at positions 102 to 657 of the family's 1533-position model. The record is from RNAcentral.